UGGGGAAUAUUGCACAAUGGGCGCAAGCCUGAUGCAGCGACGCCGCGUGAGGGAUGACGGCCUUCGGGUUGUAAACCUCUUUCAGCAGGGACGAAGCGCAAGUGACGGUACCUGUAGAAGAAGGACCGGCCAACUACGUGCCAGCAGCCGCGGUAAUACGUAGGGUCCGAGCGUUGUCCGGAAUUACUGGGCGUAAAGAGCUCGUAGGUGGUUUGUCGCGUUGUUCGUGAAAACUCACAGCUCAACUGUGGGCGUGCGGGCGAUACGGGCAGACUUGAGUACUGCAGGGGAGACUGGAAUUCCUGGUGUAGCGGUGGAAUGCGCAGAUGUCAGGAGGAACACCGGUGGCGAAGGCGGGUCUCUGGGCAGUAACUGACGCUGAGGAGCGAAAGCGUGGGGAGCGAACAGGAUUAGAUACCCUGGUAGUCCACGCCGUAAACGGUGGGUACUAGGUGUGGGUUUCCUUCCUUGGGAUCCGUGCCGUAGCUAACGCAUUAAGUACCCCGCCG
Molecule: ribosomal RNA, 509 nt
Filed under: uncultured Actinomycetes bacterium
Lineage: Bacteria; Bacillati; Actinomycetota; Actinomycetes
Description: bacterial SSU rRNA
Rfam family: Bacterial small subunit ribosomal RNA
Source: RNAcentral